CUGAGUCCCUCUCCCCGGCAUCCCUGGGCCACAUUUCCCAGCAAAGCCUGGGAGGUGCCAGGGCUGUUCUUGCCAGUGCUGCUCUGCUCCGCUGGAGCUGCUCUGCUGGCAGGAGAAAGCCAGAGGAACCUGUGAGAGAGUGUGAGACGUUGCUUGCCAAGAGGCAAGGAGCAGGAGCAAGGGAGUGAACACCGCUUCCCCAUCUGCUGCACAGCAUGGAGAAUGAGGUGUUCAGAUACCUGCUCUUCAAACCCUUGGAUCCCAAGCAGCUUUCCUUACUUCAGGAACUCACCACCUUGGAAAUCUGCAGAGUGUGGGAAGGCACAUCCAAGUAUAUCCGGAGACAGCUGCUGGAGAAGAGGGUGAGUCUUACCUCCUGCUUGUGGGCCAGCUCGUCCCUUCGCACCUGAGCAGCGGGCAGGCCACACAGCACCAUGCCCAGGCCCAGCAGGUCACCCAGCACCUUUCUUACCUCCACCCAGCGCUGCCAUGGCUCCCUCUUGUUUGACUUUUCAGGCGGUGGAUAUUGGAAUUGGGAGCUUU
Molecule: long non-coding RNA, 543 nt
Filed under: Gallus gallus (chicken)
Lineage: Eukaryota; Metazoa; Chordata; Aves; Galliformes; Phasianidae
Description: long non-coding RNA NONGGAT012017
Source: RNAcentral